CCUACGGGGGGCAGCAGUAGGGAAUCUUUCACAAUGGGCGAAAGCCUGAUGGAGCAACGCCGCGUGCAGGAUGAAGGCCUUCGGGUUGUAAACUGCUUUUAUAAGCGAGAAAUAUGAUGGUAACUUAUGAAUAAGGAUCGGCUAACUACGUGCCAGCAGCCGCGGUCAUACGUAGGAUCCGAGCAUUAUCCGGAGUGACUGGGUGUAAAGAGUUUCGUAGGUGGUAUAAUAAGUAGCUAGGGAAAUCUGGUGGCUUAACCAUUCAGACUAUUAGCUAAACUGUUAAGCUCGAGACCGUUAGGGGUAACUGGAAAGUAUGGUGUAGGAGUGAAAUCCGUAGAUAUUAGAAGGAACACCAAUAGCGUAGGCAGGUUGCUGGGACGGUUCUGACGCUAAGGCACGAAAGCGUAGGGAGCAAACGGGAUUAGAUACCCGUGUAGUC
Molecule: ribosomal RNA, 442 nt
Filed under: uncultured bacterium
Lineage: Bacteria
Description: partial 16S ribosomal RNA
Rfam family: Bacterial small subunit ribosomal RNA
Source: RNAcentral